UCAACAAUAUUGAGAAAACUGAAUACCCAAAGCAGAAGAAUAAAGUUGAGCUCUGAAUUUGCAUCAUCUAUGAA
RNAcentral lists this small nucleolar RNA (74 nucleotides) under Ochotona princeps (American pika). Lineage: Eukaryota; Metazoa; Chordata; Mammalia; Lagomorpha; Ochotonidae. The record is from RNAcentral.